Long non-coding RNA from Hibiscus syriacus, 3209 nucleotides. RefSeq lists it as uncharacterized. Lineage: Eukaryota; Viridiplantae; Streptophyta; Magnoliopsida; Malvales; Malvaceae. The record is from RefSeq and is a predicted model, not a curated record. The transcript is spliced from 3 exons.
UCAUGAUUAUGAAAAGUGCAAAAUUCUUGCUUUCUAAUGCCGAAAAUUUCAAUUUUAAUAAGCCUGGAAAGGACAUGACUUUAUGCUACUACAGAGAAAAAAACUGAAGUUGGAUAUCACUCUUGUUAUAGUUGCUUAGAAGUUUUAUGUCAAUUGAGAAAAAAAAAUAGAAUGGCCAGAAUUUGCUGAAUGUCUGAUCCCUGUACAAAACUUGAUUUCAGCAUUAAUUAAUUAUUUUUUUUAUAGAAAGCAUUAAUUAAUUUAUCAGUGGACUUUUCUGGUGCAAGUUUUUAUGUGCCAUUCCCCCAGUCUAGAAAUGUACACCUAUUGUUCUACUUCGAUUUCCUUCAUCUUUAUUGUCCUGUAACAGUUAUAACCAGUAUUGAAAAUCGCUUCUUCUAUCUAGCACCUUGCUAUAGAUUUUUUCCUUAAUUAUCCAUAUUUGGGUUGAGUUCUGUAAUGAUUCUUGAAGCCCCUUGAUGAGCAAUUUUGUUUGAGAACUCAUUGCAAUUCCAGCUAGUUGUCAUACCUUAAUUUCAGUUAGCUUCUUAGUUAGAAAGGUUAACAAGAAAAAAUUCCUACUGAAGGUGCCAGUUAUAUGGCGUAUUUUUUAUAUUUUCUUAUUAAGUAUGUGUGAAUAUAUCGAAGUAAAAUAAUGUUUGUCAUAAUAUAUUUGGUAGUUAUGAGAUUGCCAUUAUGGUUCUGUUGGGUUUUGUUGUUUGGAUUUAAGUUAACAUCCUUAGGAUUUUUACUUGGAAGUGAGUUGUGUUCAAGCAUUAAAUCCAUAGUGUUUGAUGUUUCAAAUUAGCUGAGUGUUAGAUUCUUGGGGUGAUUGGCUGGCUUUGUUUGGUUUGUGGUGAUUCAAAUUAGUCAUGAUUUCACUGGAGUUCAAUGUUUGCUGGUCACAAUAUUAUAGCCUUCAUUACUUAGGUUGUUUGGCAUCUCCUUCCCCCAAAAUUCUCUACUUUUUUUCCCUUUCCCUUUUCUUGUAGUAGCAUUUAACCUCUGAUUUAUACUGUAUUGCAAGAUAAAAGUGGGUUGUGGAUAAGUUUAUUUGGAAUUGGGCCAUUGAUGUAGCUUGUGUAGUGGAUGGAAGUCUUUUUGAUUCCUGUUACUUCUCUGUUGAUAGUUCCAGUGACCAAAAUGCUAGGAGCUUUAGUUAUAUUACAAAAUAUUUCCUUAGCCAAUCUCUUCUUGUUGCUGAGGUACCUUUGUAUUUAGAUUGUUAUAUCCUUUCCUUUAUUGCUACAGCAUAUAGAUUCCUACUUUUAUUUCAUAUCACAAUGACCUUACCACCGGAAGUUAUUUUUAAGUUUCUUGAUUACUCCCAUGCCAGAGAUUUCUCAAUUUUGUUUGAUAAUACUAUGAAAUCAAUUUCUUAACUCAAGCGCAGGUAUCUUUCUUGUUUCUUAUGGCUUGCAUCUAAUCCGUCACAUUGUGGAAUGCAUUUGUACGUUGGUCGAACAGGUUUAACUAUUAUGAUUUGUUCAAUAAAUACUUUUGCCACUUUUACUUGUAAUAUAUGUACAUAUCAUUUUCAGAGUUUGCAGCUUGCAUGACCUGUUCCUAUUCAACAUGCUGUCCUGAGACAUUUGAUCAUUUAUAUCUCUUUAGUAAUGAUUAUGAUGAUGCAAGAGACAUAUACAAGAAACCUGUGCAUGGCAAUUUUCCUUGUGAAUUGUGAUGACGAAGGGCGUAUUAUCUUGUAAGUACUUUAAUUCUUGUUCUGUCAGCCGUUACUCUUUUCACCCUAAAGCAUCAUUUCUGGUGUUGCUUUUUUUAUACUGUUUCUCAAAUCACGGAGUUAUCUACCCUUAUUUGCUGGAAAACUCUUUCUAAACGGUUAAUCAGAUACCUUUCUUUUGUACAUUCCUUUUCUUGCCAUGCAAUGGAUUCUUUUAUUUAUAAUUGUCUCCUAAAGGCGUGCACUGAUUUUAUAGGAUACUCAUAAGCAUCUAAUAUGACGGUUAGCCCUUUUGACAAUUAAAAAGGAAAAUGUAAUCUGAUUGACAUUCUUGCUGCUUUCUUUAAUUGUGGCUUAUAUGCGAAGCCUUCUUAAAAUUGUGCAUGAGAGUUACAUUGCCUGCAAAUGCAAGCACUUGUGUAGCUGCAACAUAGCAUGUCCAAAUAGGGUAUUACAAAAUAACGUACGACUGAAAUUAAAAAUUUUCUAAACAAAGAAUAAGGUAAUAGUUUCAAAUUCUGGUUGUAUUUUAUAGUUUUAUCCUUUGACGUUGCUUCAUGUCUUACCAGGUUUUAUUUCCAGAUUUAUGUGGAUCUGUCUUCGCCCUAUGCUUGCUUCUUCCUUCUUUUCUUUCUUUUUAGUUUAUGUUUUAUGUUAAGUAGGCUAUAUGAUUGGAUUCCAAGUAUGAUACAGACGGUUGCAACUAUACGUAUAACAUUGAUUCCCAUGGUAAUGAUAUGAGCCAGUUGAUUAAGGGACAGGUCCAAUAAGUUAUGGAUGCAACCCAGUGUGGGAAUGUUUCUUGGUUCAUCAAUCAUAGUUGCUCGAAUCUUGUGAAUCAUCAAGUUCUUGUGGAGGGCAUGGAUUGUCACAGUGCUGACAUUGGUCUCUAGUGUAAGUGUGUCUCGUUCUGAAUCACAUCUGUGAACCCCAUGAUGAUUGGCGGUUCAAAUUUUUUUGAAUAGUAGCUAUUGGUGAAGAGCUAACUUUUGAUUAUGGAAAUGAACAGCUUCCUGGAGAAGGAUAUCCAUGUCAACGUGAAGCUUCUACGGGGUCUCAAUGGCAUCCAAGGUUUUGCUUUUUAAGUUCCCAAAUGAGUGAUACCAACAAGGGAGAUUGAUCUCCAUCAAGCUAGUCCCUGGACGAAACGCAACACACGUUGUGAACAGCUGUACAUUUUAGGAUGCUGGUUCUUUUAUCAUGGCAACCGUAAAGGCGUCAACUUCAAAUCUCUAUCACGUGGGAUUUGUACGGAAGGAUAACACCAACAAUUAUUGUAUUAUAAUGAACUGAAUUAUCGUUCAAAAAUCAUAUUAUAUGGAGCUCAUUGAUAAAUGAUGUACUUUAACAUAAUUUUGAGUUUAGAUGGACAGCUGUAAGAUGGUGUAAAGAGAGUUGUGGGUGCCAAAUUAGUGUUUCUUAACGAGCUUCAAGGAAAUUGGAUGAAACUCAAGAGAUUGCGGUUGCACUAUAUCUGCUGGGUGAAGUCACUUUUGGUCUGGACAUCUAUAGCUUUCUCCCUGGU